AGUGAACGCUGGCGGUAGGCCUAACACAUGCAAGUCGAACGGCAGCACAGUAAGAGCUUGCUCUUACGGGUGGCGAGUGGCGGACGGGUGAGGAAUACAUCGGACUCUACUUUUUCGUGGGGGAUAACGUAGGGAAACUUACGCUAAUACCGCAUACGACCUACGGGUGAAAGCAGGGGAUCUUCGGACCUUGCGCGAUUGAAUGAGCCGAUGUCGGCUUAGCUAGUUGGCGGGGUAAUGGCCCACCAGGGCGACGAGCCGUAGCUGGGCUGAGAGGAGGAUCGGCGGCACGGGAGCUGGGACACGGUCCAGGCUCCUGCGGGAGGCAGCAGUGGGGAAUAUUGGACAAUGGGCGGAAGCCUGGUCCAGCCAUACCGCGUGGGUGAAGAAGGCCUUCGGGUUGGAAAGCCCUUUUGUUGGGAAAGAAAAGCAGCAGGUUAAGACCCCGCUGUUCUGACGGUACCCAAAGAAUAAGCACCGGCUAACUUCGUG
RNAcentral lists this ribosomal RNA (492 nucleotides) under uncultured bacterium. RNAcentral's name for it is "partial 16S ribosomal RNA". It matches the Rfam family "Bacterial small subunit ribosomal RNA", at positions 30 to 507 of the family's 1533-position model. The record is from RNAcentral.